AGCGAACGCUGGCGGCAGGCCUAACACAUGCAAGUCGAACGAACUCUUCGGAGUUAGUGGCGGACGGGUGAGUAACACGUGGGAACGUGCCUUUUGGUUCGGAAUAACUCAGGGAAACUUGUGCUAAUACCGAAUGUGCCCUUCGGGGGAAAGAUUUAUCGCCAUUAGAGCGGCCCGCGUCUGAUUAGCUAGUUGGUGAGGUAACGGCUCACCAAGGCGACGAUCAGUAGCUGGUCUGAGAGGAUGACCAGCCACACUGGGACUGAGACACGGCCCAGACUCCUACGGGAGGCAGCAGUGGGGAAUCGUGCGCAAUGGGCGAAAGCCUGACGCAGCCAUGCCGCGUGAAUGAUGAAGGUCUUAGGAUUGUAAAAUUCUUUCGCCGGGGACGAUAAUGACGGUACCCGGAGAAGAAGCCCCGGCUAACUUCG
RNAcentral lists this ribosomal RNA (431 nucleotides) under uncultured bacterium. RNAcentral describes it as "partial 16S ribosomal RNA". It matches the Rfam family "Bacterial small subunit ribosomal RNA", at positions 29 to 505 of the family's 1533-position model. The record is from RNAcentral.